CACAGUGUAGCAAUACAUGGGUGGCGACCGGCAAACGGGUGCGGAACACGUACGCAACCUUCCUUCAGGCGGGGAAUAGCCCAGAGAAAUUUGGAUUAAUACCCCAUAAUAUUUUGAGAUGGCAUCAUCUUAUUAUUAAAGCUACGGCACCUGGAGAUGGGCGUGCGGCUGAUUAGGUAGUUGGCGGGGUAAUGGCCCACCAAGCCUACGAUCAGUAGCUGAUGUGAGAGCAUGACCAGCCACACGGGCACUGAGACACGGGCCCGACUCCUACGGGAGGCAGCAGUAAGGAAUAUUGGUCAAUGGACGCAAGUCUGAACCAGCCAUGCCGCGUGGAGGAUGAAGGUCCUCUGGAUUGUAAACUUCUUUUAUCUGGGACGAAAAAAGGGUUUUCUAACUCGUCUGACGGUACCAGAUGAAUAAGCACCGGCUAACUCCGUGCCAGCAGCCGCGGUAAUACGGAGGGUGCAAGCGUUAUCCGGAUUCACUGGGUUUAAAGGGUGCGUAGGCGGGCAUUUAAGUCAGUGGUGAAAUACCUGAGCUUAACUUGGGAACUGCCAUUGAUACUAUUUGUCUUGAAUGUCGUGGAGGUUAGCGGAAUAUGUCAUGUAGCGGUGAAAUGCUUAGAUAUGACAUAGAACACCUAUUGCGAAGGCAGCUAACUACGCGAAUAUUGACGCUGAGGCACGAAAGCGUGGGGAUCAAACAGGAUUAGAUACCCUGGUAGUCCACGCCCUAAACGAUGAUUACUCGACAUUAGCGAUACACUGUUAGUGUCUGAGCG
Molecule: ribosomal RNA, 784 nt
Filed under: uncultured bacterium
Lineage: Bacteria
Description: SSU rRNA
Rfam family: Bacterial small subunit ribosomal RNA
Source: RNAcentral